Molecule: unclassified non-coding RNA, 233 nt
Filed under: fungal sp.
Lineage: Eukaryota; Fungi
Description: partial internal transcribed spacer region
Rfam family: Eukaryotic small subunit ribosomal RNA (bases 1-46)
Source: RNAcentral
AAGUCGUAACAAGGUUUCCGUAGGUGAACCUGCGGAAGGAUCAUUACAAGAAACGAGGCCGCGUGCGCUCGCCCGCCCGGCCCCGCUCCUUACCUUGCCUACUGCACCGUUUGUUGCUUCCUGGCGGCGGACUGCCCGCCGCCAGGGACGUUGAUACAAUCCUGUAUAGAAGCAUUGAAGCUCUGAGAAAACGCGAAAUCGUACAACUUUCAACAAUGGAUCUCUUGGUUCUG